Molecule: long non-coding RNA, 280 nt
Filed under: Lathyrus oleraceus (garden pea)
Lineage: Eukaryota; Viridiplantae; Streptophyta; Magnoliopsida; Fabales; Fabaceae
Description: Pisum sativum (pea) long non-coding RNA (PSAT_LNC017513)
Source: RNAcentral
GUUCACGGUUAUUGAAACAAAGGAUAUAAGGCUCAAAUUUGAUUUUAACUCACCCCUUCUUUAUGAUGUUCUUCAAUCCUAUGUUCAGUUAAUUCAACAUACACUUUCGUCCUUCAAGAGAGUCUAACGAUGUAAGAAUGCAGAUGAUGAUUAAGGUUCGCUUGAAAUGGCAGUCAUCUUAUUCUGCAUGAAUGCCAGUGACCUUUAGAUUCCUGAUAUGGCGAUCACCUUAUUUUUCUUUGUCUUUUAUGGAGGAUUUAACUACCUCUUUUGAUUUCUU